GCUCUUUUACCAGGGAUGAUAAUGACAGUACCUGGAGAAUAAGCUCCGGCUAACUCCGUGCCAGCAGCCGCGGUAAUACUGAGGGAGCUAGCGUUGUUCGGAAUUACUGGGCGUAAAGCGCGCGUAGGCGGUUACUCAAGUCAGAGGUGAAAGCCCGGGGCUCAACCCCGGAACUGCCUUUGAAACUAGGUGACUAGAAUCUUGGAGAGGUCAGUGGAAUUCCGAGUGUAGAGGUGAAAUUC
RNAcentral lists this ribosomal RNA (242 nucleotides) under uncultured Alphaproteobacteria bacterium. Its description in RNAcentral is "partial 16S ribosomal RNA". It matches the Rfam family "Bacterial small subunit ribosomal RNA", at positions 430 to 689 of the family's 1533-position model. Lineage: Bacteria; Pseudomonadati; Pseudomonadota; Alphaproteobacteria. The record is from RNAcentral.